RNAcentral lists this ribosomal RNA (497 nucleotides) under uncultured bacterium. RNAcentral's name for it is "partial 16S ribosomal RNA". It matches the Rfam family "Bacterial small subunit ribosomal RNA", at positions 28 to 507 of the family's 1533-position model. The record is from RNAcentral.
GACGAACGCUGGCGGCGUGCCUAAUACAUGCAAGUAGAACGCUGAAGAGAGGAGCUUGCUCCUCUUGGAUGAGUUGCGAACGGGUGAGUAACGCGUAGGUAACCUGCCUUGUAGCGGGGGAUAACUAUUGGAAACGAUAGCUAAUACCGCAUAACAAUGGAUGACCCAUGUCAUUUAUUUGAAAGGGGCAAAUGCUCCACUACAAGAUGGACCUGCGUUGUAUUAGCUAGUAGGUGAGGUAACGGCUCACCUAGGCGACGAUACAUAGCCGACCUGAGAGGGUGAUCGGCCACACUGGGACUGAGACACGGCCCAGACUCCUACGGGAGGCAGCAGUAGGGAAUCUUCGGCAAUGGGGGCAACCCUGACCGAGCAACGCCGCGUGAGUGAAGAAGGUUUUCGGAUCGUAAAGCUCUGUUGUAAGUCAAGAACGAGUGUGAGAGUGGAAAGUUCACACUGUGACGGUAGCUUACCAGAAAGGGACGGCUAACUACGUG